AUGUUUAUGGACAUGAUGCCUGGUUUUGGAUUUUGUUACAGAAAAGCUUCUGUUAUCAAGUCAUUUAUAAGUGAAAAUAUGCUUUCGAUAGGGAUCUCCACAUCUAUAUUGUCUUUAUGGUGCUCCAAUCACUGGCAGCUGUUUGUUAUUUGUCCUCAAGAUAAUGAUAUCUUUUGGUUUUGUUCAUUACACACAAAACCCAAGAAACGUACUAAGAACUGA
Molecule: non-coding RNA, 222 nt
Organism: Vicia faba (fava bean)
Lineage: Eukaryota; Viridiplantae; Streptophyta; Magnoliopsida; Fabales; Fabaceae
Source: the annotation of a GenBank genome assembly